Molecule: ribosomal RNA, 440 nt
Filed under: uncultured bacterium
Lineage: Bacteria
Description: partial 16S ribosomal RNA
Rfam family: Bacterial small subunit ribosomal RNA
Source: RNAcentral
CCUACGGGGGGCAGCAGUGGGGGAUAUUGCACAAUGGGGGAAACCCUGAUGCAGCGACGCCGCGUGGGUGAAGAAGCGCCUCGGCGCGUAAAGCCCUGUCAGCAGGGAAGAAAAUGACGGUACCUGAAGAAGAAGCCCCGGCUAACUACGUGCCAGCAGCCGCGGUAAUACGUCGGGGGCAAGCGUUAUCCGGAUUUACGGGAUGUAAAGGGGGCGCAGACGGCGAUGCAAGCCAGGAGUGAAAGCCCGGGGCCCAACCCCGGGACUGCUCUUGGAACUGCGUGGCUAGAGUGCAGGAGGGGCAGGCGGAAUUCCUGGUGUAGCGGUGAAACGCGUAGAUAUCAGGAGGAACACCGGUGGCGAAGGCGGCCUGCUGGACUGCAACUGACGUUGAGGCCCGAAAGCGUGGGGAGCAAACAGGAUUAGAUACCCGUGUAGUC